This 406-nucleotide ribosomal RNA is filed under the name uncultured bacterium. Its description in RNAcentral is "partial 16S ribosomal RNA". It matches the Rfam family "Bacterial small subunit ribosomal RNA", at positions 30 to 526 of the family's 1533-position model. The record is from RNAcentral.
AUUGAACGCUGGCGGCAGGCCUAACACAUGCAAGUCGAACGAGUGGCGGACGGGUGAGUAAUGUCUGGGAAACUGCCUGAUGGAGGGGGAUAACUACUGGAAACGGUAGCUAAUAACGCAUACCAUCGGAUGUGCACAGAUGGGAUUAGCUAGGAGGGGGGGUAACGGCUCACCGAGGCGACGAUCCCUAGCUUGUCUGAGAGGAUGACCAGCCACACGGGAACUGAGACACGGUCCAGACUCCUACGGUAGGCAGCGGUGUGGAAUAUUUCACAAUGGGCGCAAGCCUGAUGCAGCCAUGCCGCGUGUAUGAAGAAGGCCUUCGGGUUUUAAAGUACUUUCAGCGGGGAGGCGUUACCCGCAGAAGAAGCACCGGCUAACUCCGUGCCAGCAGCCGCGGUAAUAC